This is a long non-coding RNA of Dalotia coriaria, 367 nucleotides long. RefSeq lists it as uncharacterized. NCBI's taxonomy places the organism in Eukaryota, Metazoa, Arthropoda, Insecta, Coleoptera, Staphylinidae. The transcript is spliced from 2 exons. The record is from RefSeq and is a predicted model, not a curated record.
UCAGAAUAACUUUUAAAAAGUCAAAAUUUAAAAAAUAUUUUAAAAUGAAACUAACUCUGCUUUUCCUCACGGUUUUGUGGUUUUUGCCAUAGUGUCCCAGGCAUCCGCAAGUGAAGAUCAUGAAUCUUCUGAUAUGGGCACUUCCGAAGGACCUUCUCCACCACGUAGAGGCGCAAGACAUCCACGUGGAAGAAACGGUACACGUCACGGAGGUAAAGGCCGUAGAGGCGGCAAGGGACCUAGAACUUCCACGGCAGGUCCCGAAGAAGAUUAAGAUGGAAAACCUGGCAAACUACACAAUAUAACAAAAUAAUAUUUUUAACCAGUUCUAUUGGAUAAAUGUUAAAAUAAAAAACUACGCAAUCAA